Molecule: non-coding RNA, 1395 nt
Organism: Phascolarctos cinereus (koala)
Lineage: Eukaryota; Metazoa; Chordata; Mammalia; Diprotodontia; Phascolarctidae
Source: RefSeq, a predicted model, not a curated record
AAAAUACCAUACCAGGGAUUCUUUGAAAAAUCAGAUUAAAGUUUCUGACACAGGGUGUGUGGGCUUGUUGCUUUAGUUCCCCACAGGAUGGUGGAAGACUAGAGUCUGCCCGAGAGGAGAAACUUAGAAACCCUUCCAGCCAGCCGCCCGUGAAAAAGCAAGGGUGGGGUAGAGAAGGGGGAAAAGGGGGAGUAGCGGGAGGAGAGAAGCAAGGAGAGAAAAUGAGGGGGUGGGGGGAGCUAGUGGAGGGGCUGCGAUUAACCUGUAUGCAUAGUGUUACCAUACAGUAUGUCCUGUGUGCAACUGCGAACGAAGGAUAGGCUUUUAGAGAGGAAAAGCCGCAGCUCCACACGUUCCUGUCUGAAGGAUGGUCCAGAAACCCCAGACGUCUCGUCGCCUUCUCGUUUCCACCUCUAAGAGAACUAGAGAAGAUCAUUUCAUGUUGACGGACUUGGGGGGAAAUGUGCAAAUGUUUAUGGAUGUUUCCCUGAAAUUCCAAAGCUUCUAGAUGGCCCAUGACACAGAUUUUUCUACCUUCUGAAGCAGAACUGUGGAAGGGGUGCCCUGGGGACUGUCUGACGGAGUCCCCCUAUCGUGGUUUAAAUCCCACUACUGAUUCCUGAUUGGCAGGGAUGCUUUCACCUGCUCUGUUUCCGACCUGGGCCAGUUCAGCCUGGUCCUCCGUCGUCACCCAGCCCCCAUCAUAUUAAAUACCCAGCUAAGUGCAGACACUUGAUCAGCAUAACCCAAUGCGGUGCUGAAACUCCUGAGCUGAAGAGAUCCUCCAGCUGUCAACACGCCAGGUAGCUGGCGUGUUAGGGAUGUCCCACCGUGCCUACCUCAGAUCUUCCUAACUCCAAAGCCAUCACGCCAACCAGCUGCCUCAGACUUCCUGUACCAGACAAGCCAUCGUCCACUGAUCAGCAAGUCAUUUCCUCUAGGGGCAGCUUUUCAUUUUCAGAAAGGUAUGCCUUAGACCCUAAAUUCAUUUCUCUGUCGUUACUCCCCAUUAUUCCUCCUUCCCACUGGAGUCAAGCAGAGCCUGUCCGAUGCCUCUUCCCUAAGAUGGUCUUUCAGACGUGAAGACGGUUAUGUUCCUACCCUACACCAAGUCUCCUCCAGGCUCACCAUCCCCACUUCCUUCAAUGGCUUUUUGCAUGGCUGUCAGAAUGACCCUGUCACACACGCCGCAAAUUUCAGGGGCUCCCCAUUGCCUUUAAGAUGAAAUACAACAUUUUCUGCCUGGCAUUUAAAGCCUUUCCUUCUCAGUCUGGUUCCAGCCUACCUUUCCCGGCUAACCCUUCACACACCCUCCAUUGCAGCCAAACUGGCCUAUUUACUCUUUUUUUGGGGGUGGGGGGUUAGGCAGUGGGGUUAAGUGACUUGCCCAGGGUC